GACGAACGCUGGCGGCGUGCUUAACACAUGCAAGUCGAACGGAAAGGCCCUGCUUUUGUGGGGUGCUCGAGUGGCGAACGGGUGAGUAACACGUGAGUAACCUCCCCUUGACUUUGGGAUAACUCCAGGAAACUGGGGCUAAUACCGGAUAGGAGCUCCUGCUGCAUGGUGGGGGUUGGAAAGUUUCGGCGGUUGGGGAUGGACUCGCGGCUUAUCAGCUUGUUGGUGGGGUAGUGGCUUACCAAGGCUUUGACGGGUAGCCGGCCUGAGAGGGUGACCGGCCACAAUGGGACUGAGAUACGGCCCAGACUCCUACGGGAGGCAGCAGUGGGGAAUAUUGCACAAUGGGCGGAAGCCUGAUGCAGCAACGCCGCAUGCGGGAUGACGGCCUUCGGGUUGUAAACCGCUUUCGCCUGUGACGAAGCGUGAGUGACGGUAAUGGGUAAAGAAGCACCGGCUAACUACGUG
This 468-nucleotide ribosomal RNA is filed under the name uncultured bacterium. RNAcentral describes it as "partial 16S ribosomal RNA". It matches the Rfam family "Bacterial small subunit ribosomal RNA", at positions 28 to 507 of the family's 1533-position model. The record is from RNAcentral.